RNAcentral lists this ribosomal RNA (300 nucleotides) under Bacillus licheniformis. RNAcentral's name for it is "bacterial SSU rRNA". It matches the Rfam family "Bacterial small subunit ribosomal RNA", at positions 68 to 358 of the family's 1533-position model. The record is from RNAcentral. Lineage: Bacteria; Bacillati; Bacillota; Bacilli; Caryophanales; Bacillaceae.
GGAGAUGGGAGCUUGCUCCCUGAUGUUAGCGGCGGACGGGUGAGUAACACGUGGGUAACCUGCCUGUAAGACUGGGAUAACUCCGGGAAACCGGGGCUAAUACCGGAUGCUUGAUUGAACCGCAUGGUUCAAUUAUAAAAGGUGGCUUUUAGCUACCACUUACAGAUGGACCCGCGGCGCAUUAGCUAGUUGGUGAGGUAACGGCUCACCAAGGCAACGAUGCGUAGCCGACCUGAGAGGGUGAUCGGCCACACUGGGACUGAGACACGGCCCAGACUCCUACGGGAGGCAGCAGUGGGA